Molecule: long non-coding RNA, 593 nt
Filed under: Homo sapiens (human)
Lineage: Eukaryota; Metazoa; Chordata; Mammalia; Primates; Hominidae
Source: RNAcentral
AGGUACGUGGGCGGGCGGAUCGUGGUGGCUGCGCUUGCGAGGACCCUGAGGUAGAUUGGGUGGUUUCAACAGGAACGCAUCCACUGUCUGAGAGUUUAAACUUGAUUUUGUGAGGGGACGAACAGCGUGACAAUUAAAAGAAGAUCUGGGAAUCAAAAGCUUCCUGAGGCCUUCACCAGAAGCAGAUGCUGGUGCCGUGCUUCUACAGCCUGCAGAACUGAAGGACUUUACAGCUUCUCUUUCGCAUAUCCAAAUUGCCAGCAUCACCGCUCUUGCACUCCAAGCCAUUAUUAAGUAAAGUAAAGAACACAAACACUGUGAUACUGCUACACUUGAUCUGAUAACCAAGAAGUCUACUAAGUGACUAACAGAAGAGAAGACAUGGAGAAGAGGAGGGAGUAGUUGUGACCGUGGAGGCAGAGAAUGGAGUAAUGUGAUCAUAAAUCAAGGAAUGCUGACAGCCACUAAAGCUGGAGAAGGCCAAGGACAGAUAUUCAAUCCUCCCGUAGAAGUACAGCCCUGCUAAUGCAUUGAUUUUGGACUUCUGGCCUCAGAACUGUAAGAGAAUAAAUUUCUAUUGUUUUAAGCCUUCA